RNAcentral lists this ribosomal RNA (582 nucleotides) under uncultured Alphaproteobacteria bacterium. RNAcentral's name for it is "bacterial SSU rRNA". It matches the Rfam family "Bacterial small subunit ribosomal RNA", at positions 45 to 673 of the family's 1533-position model. The record is from RNAcentral. Lineage: Bacteria; Pseudomonadati; Pseudomonadota; Alphaproteobacteria.
GGCCUAACACAUGCAAGUCGAGCGCUACCUUCGGGUGGAGCGGCGGACGGGUUAGUAACGCGUGGGAACAUACCCCUUUCUAAGGAAUAGCCUCGGGAAACUGAGAGUAAUACCUUAUACGCCCUUCGGGGGAAAGAUUUAUCGGGGAGGGAUUGGCCCGCGUAAGAUUAGGUAGUUGGUGGGGUAAUGGCCUACCAAGCCUACGAUCUUUAGCUGGUUUUAGAGGACGAUCAGCAACAUUGGGACUGAGACACGGCCCAGACUCCUACGGGAGGCAACAGUGGGGAAUCUUAGACAAUGGGCGCAAGCCUGAUCUAGCCAUGCCGCGUGAGCGACGAAGGUCUUAGGAUCGUAAAGCUCUUUCGCCAGAGAUGAUAAUGACAGUAUCUGGUAAAGAAACCCCGGCUAACUCCGUGCCAGCAGCCGCGGUAAUACGGAGGGGGUUAGCGUUGUUCGGAAUUACUGGGCGUAAAGCGCGCGUAGGCGGAUUAGUAAGUUAGGGGUGAAAUCCCAGGGCUCAACCCUGGAACUGCCUCUAAUACUGCUAGUCUUGAGUUCGAGAGAGGUGAGUGGAAUUCCGAG